UAAAAAAUUAAUGAAGUUUUGUUGGACUAUGUAACAACUAGUUGGAGUGGUUAAUCUGUUCCUUUACAUGAUAAUGUAUACUCAGAUGCAUCUUGUAAUGUGGUAAAAUAGUUUUUUAUUCUUAUUUCUUUUUCUUUAAAAAAAUAUUUAAAGACUUCUUUGUUAAAUUGUAAUUAAAAUUUUUUUAUUUGGUUCUGACAGAGGAGGGGGUGGCUUGCUCCUCUUUUUAUAAAGACAAAUUAUACACCUCUAGGUGUAUAAAUUGCCUUUUAUGAAAGGGGGUGCAUAAAGGCAAUUUAUACAUACUAUACUACACAUUUUUAUUUCAAAAGGCUUGUCGUUUUUGUGUAUUUUUUUUUAGGUUGGAGUGUGUAAUUCGUCUUUUUUCAUGACAAAAUGGUUACUCUGAUGCAUUUUCAAUUGCAAGUUUCCAAAUAUAUGCAAAGUAAAGUAAGUAAAGAAAACAAUACUUUUCAAUUAGUAAAUUUAGUAUUAUUAAUUAAUUUUAAUUUUUUACAUUUUUUAUCCUUAUUUUUAUAACAUGAUCAAUUAAAAUGCACUAGAACUUUGUUCUGGUGCAUUUUAAUUGAACUAAGUAUAGAAUUUUAAUUUAUUAACCUGGGUAAAUAAAUUUCCAAUUGAGAGAGUUGGCACAUGUAUUAAAGUUCUGUCACAGUUGACUCAGCAAGAAUGAAAACAUUGAUACACUUUUGCAUUAUGGAAUACACAAGUUGGCAGUUCCUUGCCCACUGCCACCCAAAUACAGGUAUAAGAAAUCCUUAUCUGUACGUAACA
Hydra vulgaris (swiftwater hydra) is the source of this 795-nucleotide non-coding RNA. The record is from RefSeq and is a predicted model, not a curated record. Lineage: Eukaryota; Metazoa; Cnidaria; Hydrozoa; Anthoathecata; Hydridae.